AGGUUAAGUUAACAAGGGCGCAUGGUGAAUGCCUUGGCACUAGGAGCCGAUGAAGGACGGGACUAACACCGAUAUGCUUCGGGGAGCUGUACGUAAGCUAUGAUCCGGAGAUUUCCGAAUGGGGCAACCCAGCAGUUUUAAUCAACUGUUACCACUAGAUGAAUUCAUAGUCUAGUUGGAGGUAAACGCUGUGAACUGAAACAUCUCAUUAGCAGCAGGAAUAUAAAGAAAUUUCGAUUCCCUAAGUAGCGGCGAGCGAACGGGGAACAGCCCAAACCAAAGUGCUUGCACUUUGGGGUUGUAGGACUGAACAUUUGAGUUACCAAAGAACUUGAUAGUCGAAGGAUUUGGGAAAAUCCGCCAUAGAUGGUGAUAGCCCAGUAGAUUAAAUCAAAUUCUCUCAGUUCAGGAUCCUGAGUACGGCGGAACACGUGAAAUUCCGUCGGAAUCCGGGAGGGCCAUCUCCCAAGGCUAAAUACUACCUAGUGACCGAUAGUGAACCAGUACCGUGAGGGAAAGGUGAAAAGCACCCCGGGAGGGGAGUGAAAUAGUUCCUGAAACCAUGUGCCUACAAUAAGUCAGAGCGCGUUAAUGCGUGAUGGCGUGCCUUUUGUAGAAUGAACCGGCGAGUUAUGAUCCCGUGCAAGGUUAAGACUAAAAAGUCGGAGCCGUAGCGAAAGCGAGUCUGAAAUGGGCGUUUUGAGUACGAGGUUAUAGACCCGAAACCAGGUGACCUAUCCAUGUCCAGGUUGAAGGUGCGGUAAAACGCACUGGAGGACCGAACCCGUGUAAGUUGAAAAUUGCUGGGAUGAGGUGUGGAUAGCGGUGAAAUUCCAAACGAACUUGGAGAUAGCUGGUUCUCUCCGAAAUAGCUUUAGGGCUAGCCUCGGAAUUAGGAUCAUGGAGGUAGAGCACUAUUUGGACUAGGGGCCCGUCUUGGGUUACUGAAUUCAGAUAAACUCCGAAUGCCAUUGAUUCAUAUCCGGGAGUCAGACGAUGAGUGAUAAGAUCCACCGUCGAAAGGGGAACAGCCCAGACCAUCAGUUAAGGUCCCUAAAUGUAUGCUAAGUGGAAAAGGAUGUGGAGUUGCAUAGACAACUAGGAUGUUGGCUCAGAAGCAGCCACCAUUUAAAGAGUGCGUAAUAGCUCACUAGUCGAGUGAUCCUGCGCCGAAAAUGUACCGGGGCUAAGCAUACUACCGAAACCAUGGAUGCGACCAUUAGGUCGCGUGAUAGGAGAGCGUUCUAAGGGCGGUGAAGCAAGAUCGUGAGGACUUGUGGAGCGCUUAGAAGUGAGAAUGCCGGUAUGAGUAGCGAAAGAUAGGUGAGAAUCCUAUCCACCGAAUGACUAAGGUUUCCUGGGGAAGGCUCGUCCUCCCAGGGUUAGUCGGGACCUAAGUCGAGGCCGAGAGGCGUAGACGAUGGAUAACAGGUUGAGAUUCCUGUACUAGUUAAGUGCGUUUGAGCAAUGGAGGGACGCAGGAGGCUAAGAUGUGCAUUCUGUUGGAUUAGAAUGUCCAAGCAGUAAGUCUUGUGAAGAGUCAAAUGCUUUUCACUUUAAGGACAAGCUGUGAUGGGGAGCGAAAUUUAGUAGCGAAGCGUCUGAUGUCACACUGCCGAGAAAAGCUUCUAGUGAGUACUUAACUACCCGUACCGCAAACCGACACAGGUAGUCGAGGAGAGAAUCCUAAGGUGAGCGAGUGAACUCUCGUUAAGGAACUCGGCAAAAUGACCCCGUAACUUCGGGAGAAGGGGUGCUGAUCGCAAGAUCAGCCGCAGUGAAUAGGCCCAGGCGACUGUUUAUCAAAAACACAGGUCUCUGCAAAAUCGUAAGAUGACGUAUAGGGGCUGACGCCUGCCCGGUGCUGGAAGGUUAAAAGGAUGGGUUAGCUUCGGCGAAGCUCAGAAUUGAAGCCCCAGUAAACGGCGGCCGUAACUAUAACGGUCCUAAGGUAGCGAAAUUCCUUGUCGGGUAAGUUCCGACCCGCACGAAAGGCGUAACGAUCUGGGCACUGUCUCAACGAGAGACUCGGUGAAAUUAUAUUGUCCGUGAAGAUGCGGACUACCCGCGACAGGACGGAAAGACCCCAUGGAGCUUUACUGUAGCUUGAUAUUGAGUGUUUGUACAGCUUGUACAGGAUAGGUAGGAGCCAUAGAAACCGGAACGCUAGUUUCGGUGGAGGCGUUGGUGGGAUACUACCCUCGCUGUAUGACCACUCUAACCCGCACCACUAAUCGUGGUGGGAGACAGUGUCAGGUGGGCAGUUUGACUGGGGCGGUCGCCUCCUAAAAAGUAACGGAGGCGCCCAAAGGUUCCCUCAGAAUGGUUGGAAAUCAUUCGCAGAGUGUAAAGGCACAAGGGAGCUUGACUGCGAGACAGACAGGUCGAGCAGGGACGAAAGUCGGGCUUAGUGAUCCGGUGGUACCGUAUGGAAGGGCCAUCGCUCAACGGAUAAAAGCUACCCUGGGGAUAACAGGCUUAUCUCCCCCAAGAGUCCACAUCGACGGGGAGGUUUGGCACCUCGAUGUCGGCUCAUCGCAUCCUGGGGCUGUAGUCGGUCCCAAGGGUUGGGCUGUUCGCCCAUUAAAGCGGUACGCGAGCUGGGUUCAGAACGUCGUGAGACAGUUCGGUCCCUAUCCGUCGCGGGCGUAGGAAAUUUGAGAGGACCUGUCCUUAGUACGAGAGGACCGGGAUGGACAUACCUCUGGUGUACCAGUUGUGCCGCCAGGCGCAUCGCUGGGUAGCUACGUAUGGAUGUGAUAAACGCUGAAAGCAUCUAAGUGUGAAACACACCUCGAGAUGAGAUUUCCCAUUCCUUUAUGGAAGUAAGACCCCUGAAAGAUGAUCAGGUAGAUAGGUUAGAAGUGGCAGUGCGGUGACGCAUGAAGCGGACUAAUACUAAUCGGUCGAGGACUUAACCAAG
Molecule: ribosomal RNA, 2923 nt
Filed under: Lactiplantibacillus plantarum
Lineage: Bacteria; Bacillati; Bacillota; Bacilli; Lactobacillales; Lactobacillaceae
Description: bacterial LSU rRNA
Rfam family: Bacterial large subunit ribosomal RNA
Source: RNAcentral